AGUCUCUCUCCAGAAUGGCUGGCUCAGCUUGUCUCCUGACAAAUUCUUGCACAUUCACUGUAAAUUAUUUGCCCUUUUUGAAUGUUAAUUUUUGUUGAUCAAUCCCCCCAUUGCAUAUGUCCCCAGCAGUAAACGUAUGUAGGCCUAAUGGGGAAUUGACCAAAAAGAGAGGAAGGGGGGCAGUGAGGCGAAUCAACCUGAAUUGAUCAUGUUUUUUUAUUUGUCGGUUUUAUGCAUUUCGACUUAGUUGACAAUGGAAGUCCUAGGACUACUGCUGCAUUGGCCUAUAGGCUAUGAGUCGCUCUCGUUUCCACGCGCUCGUUUCUUUUAACUGCCAAAGGAUCACGUGUAUCAAUGUGACGUGCCCUCGCAUAAGUUACAUUUUUUACUUUCGCAUUUUUACGAUGAGCCACGUGACAAUGACUAUGAGAAACCCAAACGGUAUUAUUAGAACUGUUCCAGGAAAAUGUGCACAUGAAAAUCGUGACUGGCACACAGAUCGAUAGAAAUGGGAGGAGAAAUUAUAAGGUACCCCCAAAUUUGAAACUCACGCAUCGCCUAUGACGUCUAUAAAAGAUUUGCCUCCAUGUUUCCAUGGUCAGAUUUGCCUACAGGCUCCUAUGAAGCAAGGUAAGACGUCCCUGGUCAGAUUUGCCUAUAGGCUCCUAUGAAGCAAGGUAAGACGUCCCUGGUCAGAUUUGCCUAUAGGCUCCUACGAAGCAAGGUAAGACGUCCCUGGUCAGAUUUGCCUAUAGGCUCCUACGAAGCAAGGUAAGACGUCCCUGGUCAGAUUUGCCUAUAGGCUCCUACGAAGCAAGGUAAGACGUCCCUGGUCAGAUUUGCCUAUAGGCUCCUACGAAGCAAGGUAAGACGUCCCUGGUCAGAUUUGCCUAUAGGCUCCUACGAAGCAAGGUAAGACGUCCCUGGUCAGAUUUGCCUAUAGGCUCCUACGAAGCAAGGUAAGACGUCCCUGGUCAGAUUUGCCUAUAGGCUCCUACGAAGCAAGGUAAGACGUCCCUGGUCAGAUUUGCCUAUAGGCUCCUACGAAGCAAGGUAAGACGUCCCUGGUCAGAUUUGCCUAUAGGCUCCUAUGAAGCAAGGUAAGUCGUCCCUGGUCAGAUUUGCCUACAGGCUGCUCUGCUAUGAAGCAAGGUAUGUCGUCCCUGGUCAGAUUUGCCUAUAGGCUCCUAUGAAGCAAGGUAAGACGUCCCUGGUCAGAUUUGCCUAUAGGCUGCUAUGAAGCAAGGUAAGACGUCCCUGGUCAGAUUUGCCUAUAGGCUGCUAUGAAGCAAGGUAAGACGUCCCUGGUCAGAUUUGCCUAUAGGCUGCUAUGAAGCAAGGUAAGACGUCCCUGGUCAGAUUUGCCUAUAAGCUGCUCUGCUAUGAAGCAAGGUAAGACGUCCAUGGUCAGAUUUGCCUAUAAGCUGCUCUGCUAUGAAGCAAGGUAAGUCGUCCCUGGUCAGAUUUGCCUAUAGGCUGCUCUGCUAUGAAGCAAGGUAAGACGUCCCUGGUCAGAUUUGCCUAUAGGCUGCUCUGCUAUGAAGCAAGGUAAGACGUCCCUGGUCAGAUUUGCCUAUAGGCUUCUCUGCUAUGAGGCAAGGUAAGUCGUCCCUGGUCAGAUUUGCCUAUAGGCUGCUCUGCUAUGAAGCAAGGUAAGUCGUCCCUGGUCAGAUUUGCCUAUAGGCUGCUCUGCUAUGAAGCAAGGUAAGACAUGCCUUUUAUAAUAUGAAGUAAAACAGUCAGGUUUCAAACUAUUAAGUAGGCCUGUGUUUUCAGAAUGCAUACUGCCUCCAGCUCACAUUGUAAAGUGGUGGUGACGCACUGAUAGCCUGUUGCCUGCACUUUAAUGGUGAAUGGGAGGCGUGCUUCAAUUAGGCUACCAGUUGAGAAAUAAAAAUAGUAGGCCUAGUUCUUUUUAAUUGUUCACCAAAACUUAACACGAGUGCAUUUCAAAUUGUUGCACAAUGAACAGGCUUUUACAAAAGCACACGUUGUACUUCAGCAGCACCGGCCCGAGGAGCUGCAGGAGAAACAUCCUGCUCAAAAUAGGCUCUGUAUGCUGUGUACGUGUGACAGUUGUGUUGGAUAAAAAAGAUAGGCCACAUGAUGACUAACGAAAAUACACACAUAGCAAUUUAAUUCCACUAUAUUAUGCAAAUUAACCUGUAGACCAGCGUUUCCCAAACUCGGUCCUGGGACCCCAAAGUGUCCCUGUUUUUGUUUUUGCCCUAACACUAUACAGCUGGUUUUAAAAUAAUCAAAGCUUGAUGAUUAGCUGAUUGAUUUGAAUCAGCUGUGUAGUGCUAGGUGACCCUUUGGGGUCCCCAGGACCAGGUUUGGGAAAUGCUGCUAUAGACUGAUAAGCAUGAUGGUCAAAUGUGUUUCUAACGGAAACCCUGGUAUGCACACAGCAUGCUUUCUUCUGCAAGUGUGUGUGUGUGUGUGUGUGUGUGUGUGUGUGUGUGUGUGUGUGUGU
Long non-coding RNA from Oncorhynchus keta (chum salmon), 2476 nucleotides. RefSeq lists it as uncharacterized. NCBI's taxonomy places the organism in Eukaryota, Metazoa, Chordata, Actinopteri, Salmoniformes, Salmonidae. The record is from RefSeq and is a predicted model, not a curated record. The transcript has 3 exons.